Molecule: non-coding RNA, 807 nt
Organism: Cyanistes caeruleus (blue tit)
Lineage: Eukaryota; Metazoa; Chordata; Aves; Passeriformes; Paridae
Source: RefSeq, a predicted model, not a curated record
UGUUUAUUUUGGGUGUUUUACUGCAGUUUUUGGUGUUGAUUUUGGGUGUUUAAUAGCUUUUUUUGGUGUUUAUUUUGGGCGUUUUACUGCAGUUUUUGGUGUUGAUUUUGGGUGUUUUACUGCAGUUUUUGGUGUUGAUUUUGGGUGUUUAAUUGCAUUUUUUUGGUGUUUAUUUGUAGUUUUUUGAGUAUUUAACUGUAAUGUUUUGCUGUUUAUUUUGGGUGUUUUACUGCCGUUUUUUGCCGUUUAUUCACAAUUUUCCGUCUGCGCCCCAUCUCCAUCUCCACCUCCCCUCCCAACCCUUCCGCCAAAACUCCGGGCGGGAUCAAAAUCCACAUUUUCUUCAAUAUUCUCCCAGAUCGACCCAAAACCUUUCCUAAAAUAAACCCGGAGAGUUCUCAACCCUGGGAUGCGUCAGCGCCGCUGAGGGAAUUGCGCUUCCCGCUGUGUCCCGCCUGCUUUUCCCGGGAAAGCGCCGAGCCCGGGGCUGCGAUCGUGGCAGCCUCGCCUCACCCGAAGAAAAAAGAGGGAUGUGGCUCGGCGAUUCCUCGAAUUCCCAGGUGAAGGCGGGGAAAAAUCCCGUGAAAAAGAACAGGAUCGUUUGGGAAGCAGGAGGCUGCAGCAAAGUUUGAUCACGAUGGGCUCUGCUCCUCUCUCCUGGGACCCGCUGCGGGCGGGCGGUGCCGGAACAUUCCCGAUUCCCGCAGGGAUGAGACAAUGGCGGCACCCUUGGAGAUACUCCGGGAUCACAACCCCAGCCCGACGGGAUCUGCUGGGAGAGGGGAGCUCCUCCCUGGUGGUGUCACC